Unclassified non-coding RNA from Cavia porcellus (domestic guinea pig), 94 nucleotides. It matches the Rfam family "Y RNA". From Rfam's summary of the family: Y RNAs are components of the Ro ribonucleoprotein particle (Ro RNP), in association with Ro60 and La proteins. Lineage: Eukaryota; Metazoa; Chordata; Mammalia; Rodentia; Caviidae. The record is from Ensembl.
GGCUGGUCCAAUGGCAGUGGGUUAUCAGAACUUAUUAACAUUAGUGUCACUAAAGUUGGUAUCUCCCCCCCCCCUUAAAUUUGACUGGCUUAAA